CUGACAUUAAAAUGACAGGAGCAGCCGUCGAAGUUUAUAGCGAAAGGGGAUUACAGUUAUGAUGCAGGUCCAAAAGCAGCUAGCAGCGAAGUUUUGUAACUGCAGGAUCGAUCCGCCCAGCCCUAAUGGUAGCGUCAGCAAGACCCUCAUGAAGGUUGACCGCUUUUGUCCCAUCACCGUGGUUCGUAAGCACGAAGAAGAGGGUGACAAUCCAGAGGAUUGUGCGGAUGAGCAGGUGUCUGGCAGCAACCUUCGGGCUAGACUUGAAGUCACAUCAGGACCGUGUAAAUUCACAUGGCUAUUAAGGGAAACUGAUAAAUAUUAGGCAAUUCCUCAAUUCCAACUAUUGAGUAAAAACUAGUGAAAGAGAAAGUAGAGAAAACUAGUGUUGGCUAGGAUUACUUUUUUGUAUUCAAGUGAACCUGUAAUCCUAUUCCCAGUGAAGAGGGUCUCAUUUGCCCCCCUCCACGCUGAGGGCUGUAAUUUCCUCAGCAAUCCCUGAAUAAAAUAGGAAUGUGAAUAUGACUGGUAGAAAGUUGUAUGGAGAAUAUAGCCAUAUUCAUAUGAUUGAUAUGACUUAAGUGAAAAUCAACUACAAAGUUGUCCCUCUCUACCGGUAAUUACUUAACGCUAACUAGUGUCUCCACUGCACUGAAUAAAGCUAGCACCAUGUUAACAUGUGUAAACUCAGUUUGUGUUUAUUACACCACACCUGUUGUGUUGCCUAUGUUGAGGAUUUGGUAGUUGUAAAUGAUGAAAGGAUAUGAAUAUGAAACAUGACCGACGGUAGAUGCAGAUGUUAUAUCACAAGUUAAUUUGUGCGCACUGCACUCUACCACAACUAACAGUCAUAUCCACUAUGCGUUCGAGCUGCAGCGUCAACAACCAUCUCAAACUGUUUCCCAUACAGUCUAUACGUAGUCUAAGUAACACUAAAACCGUAACACCGGCGCCAUAUUGAUAAAAAGACAUUGGCUGAUAAACUUUCUGCAGGUACCAUGAGGAAUCGCUACUUCAAUCAGAAGUGGUUGGACAACUGAAGGGAAAGAAUACAAAGCCCACUGUUUUUUGCAAGACGUUUU
Long non-coding RNA from Esox lucius (northern pike), 1082 nucleotides. Lineage: Eukaryota; Metazoa; Chordata; Actinopteri; Esociformes; Esocidae. The record is from Ensembl.